RNAcentral lists this ribosomal RNA (301 nucleotides) under uncultured bacterium. RNAcentral describes it as "partial 16S ribosomal RNA". It matches the Rfam family "Bacterial small subunit ribosomal RNA", at positions 509 to 807 of the family's 1533-position model. The record is from RNAcentral.
CAGUCGCCGCGGUAAUACGUAGGGUGCGAGCGUUAAUCGGAAUUACUGGGCGUAAAGCGUGCGCAGGCGGCUUUGCAAGACAGAUGUGAAGUCCCCGGGCUCAACCUGGGAACUGCGCUUGUGACUGCACAGCUAGAGUAUGGCAGAGGGGGGUGGAAUUCCACGUGUAGCAGUGAAAUGCGUAGAGAUGUGGAGGAACACCGAUGGCGAAGGCAGCCCCCUGGGCCAAUACUGACGCUCAUGCACGAAAGCGUGGGGAGCAAACAGGAUUAGAUACCCGUGUAGUCCCUGUCUCUUAUAC